Molecule: ribosomal RNA, 403 nt
Filed under: uncultured bacterium
Lineage: Bacteria
Also listed under: 1 other name
Description: bacterial SSU rRNA
Rfam family: Bacterial small subunit ribosomal RNA
Source: RNAcentral
UGGGGAAUAUUGCACAAUGGGCGAAAGCCUGAUGCAGCAACGCCGCGUGAACGAUGAAGGUCUUCGGAUCGUAAAGUUCUGUUGCAGGGGAAGAUAAUGACGGUACCCUGUGAGGAAGCCCCGGCUAACUACGUGCCAGCAGCCGCGGUAAUACGUAGGGGGCUAGCGUUAUCCGGAUUUACUGGGCGUAAAGGGUGCGUAGGUGGUCCUUCAAGUCGGUGGUUAAAGGCUACGGCUCAACCGUAGUAAGCCGCCGAAACUGGAGGACUUGAGUGCAGGAGAGGAAAGUGGAAUUCCCAGUGUAGCGGUGAAAUGCGUAGAUAUUGGGAGGAACACCAGUAGCGAAGGCGGCUUUCUGGACUGCAACUGACACUGAGGCACGAAAGCGUGGGUAGCAAACAGG